Papaver somniferum (opium poppy) is the source of this 375-nucleotide long non-coding RNA. RefSeq lists it as uncharacterized. The record is from RefSeq and is a predicted model, not a curated record. Lineage: Eukaryota; Viridiplantae; Streptophyta; Magnoliopsida; Ranunculales; Papaveraceae. The transcript has 3 exons.
UUUAAAUUCUUUAUGGCUAUGAUUGAGGAAAACUACUAAUGUUAGCUUCGGGGUAAAGCGCAGCUUAUGCUGUAAAUGUCUUCUCAUUGUUGAUACUAAUGUUUUUUUUCUUUUUCUUAAUGUAUUAACUGUUUGUGUAUUAGAUGCUUUGGAUUAAUGGCAGGGGCAUCAAGAAUGCCAAUUAUGUGCUUCCAGUUUAGUUUUUUGGUUGUCGAUUAACUGAUUUAUUGGUGGAGACCGCGACAGAGCAGGAUGGCUCAGUCAGUAAUAUCACCGUGCAGCCCACAGUUUUUCAGGCAUUGACACUAGCAGUACGUAAAGCGAGUCAAUCUAUAUGCAGUUAAGAAGAAAACGAUAAUAGAAGAUCCUUGCUUU